CCUACGGGUGACAGCAGUGGGGAAUAUUGGGCAAUGGAGGAAACUCUGACCCAGCAACGCCGCGUGAAGGAUGAAGGUUUUCGGAUUGUAAACUUCUGUUGCGAGGGAUGAAGAAUGACGGUACCUCGUGAGGAAGCCCCGGCAAACUACGUGCCAGCAGCCGCGGUAAUACGUAGGGGGCAAGCGUUGUCCGGAAUGACUGGGCGUAAAGGGAGUGUAGGCGGGCUUUUAAGUUAUAUGUGAAAGCCCCCGGCUUAACCGAGGAACUGCAUAUAAAACUAGUAGACUAGAGUGCAGGAGGGGUAAGUGGAAUUCCUAGUGUAGCGGUGGAAUGCGUAGAUAUUAGGAGGAACAUCAGGGGCGAAGGCGACUUACUGGACUGUAACUGACACUGAGGCACGAAAGCGUGGGGAGCAAACAGGAUUAGAUACCCUGGUAGUC
This 441-nucleotide ribosomal RNA is filed under the name uncultured bacterium. RNAcentral's name for it is "partial 16S ribosomal RNA". It matches the Rfam family "Bacterial small subunit ribosomal RNA", at positions 338 to 795 of the family's 1533-position model. The record is from RNAcentral.